Molecule: ribosomal RNA, 506 nt
Filed under: uncultured bacterium
Lineage: Bacteria
Description: partial 16S ribosomal RNA
Rfam family: Bacterial small subunit ribosomal RNA
Source: RNAcentral
AGUGAACGCUGGCGGCAGGCCUAACACAUGCAAAUCGAACGGCAGCACAGGGGAGCUUGCUCCCUGGGUGGCGAGUGGCGGACGGGUGAGGAAUACAUCGGAAUCUACCCUUUCGUGGGGGAUAACGUAGGGAAACUUACGCUAAUACCGCAUACGAUCUGAGGAUGAAAGCAGGGGACCGCAAGGCCUUGCGCGAUUGGAUGAGCCGAUGUCCGAUUAGCUAGUUGGCGGGGUAAAGGCCCACCAAGGCGACGAUCGGUAGCUGGUCUGAGAGGAUGAUCAGCCACACUGGAGCUGAGACACGGUCCAGACUCCUACGGGAGGCAGCAGUGGGGAAUAUUGGACAGUGGGCGCAAGCCUGAUCCAGCCAUGCCGCGUGUGUGAAGAAGGCCUUCGGGUUGUAAAGCACUUUUGUUGGGAAAGAAAUCCUGUCGGCUAAUACCCGGCGGGGAUGACGGUACCCAAAGAAUAAGCACCGGCUAACUUCGUGCCAGCAGCCGCAGUAA